This 531-nucleotide ribosomal RNA is filed under the name uncultured Bacillota bacterium. RNAcentral describes it as "bacterial SSU rRNA". It matches the Rfam family "Bacterial small subunit ribosomal RNA", at positions 8 to 522 of the family's 1533-position model. Lineage: Bacteria; Bacillati; Bacillota. The record is from RNAcentral.
AGAGUUUGAUCCUGGCUCAGGACGAACGCUGGCGGCGUGCCUAAUACAUGCAAGUCGAGCGAACAUUUGAGAGCUUGCUCUCAAAUGUUAGCGGCGGACGGGUGAGUAACACGUGGGCAACCCGCCUAUAAGACUGGGAUAACUUCGGGAAACCGGAGCUAAUACCGGAUAAUUCACAUCUACUCAUGUAGAUGUGCUGAAAGACGGUUUACGCUGUCACUUAUAGAUGGGCCCGCGGCGCAUUAGCUAGUUGGUGAGGUAACGGCUCACCAAGGCCACGAUGCGUAGCCGACCUGAGAGGGUGAUCGGCCACACUGGGACUGAGACACGGCCCAGACUCCUACGGGAGGCAGCAGUAGGGAAUCUUCCGCAAUGGACGAAAGUCUGACGGAGCAACGCCGCGUGAGUGAUGAAGGUUUUCGGAUCGUAAAACUCUGUUGUUAGGGAAGAACAAGUACCAGAGUAACUGCUGGUACCUUGACGGUACCUAACCAGAAAGCCACGGCUAACUACGUGCCAGCAGCCGCGGUA